CACCCCUCACCAGCCGCACCCACCGCACUCCUUUCUCGGAGUCAUGAAGUCACGAGUGCUUGGCGGUCGGGAUCCGGUGGCCUUGGCGGCACCAUGGAGGACCCUCCAUGGUGGACCUGUGGAGGUAGACUAUCAGGAUCCGGUGGGUCUUGACGAAGCAUCGAGGAGCAUCCAUGGUGGACCUUUGUGGAUCUAUGGAGGAAGGAGAUCUCUUCGUUCAGGUUCUCUAGGAUGGCGCAGGCACUAGCAUCUCCAGACGGUGGCGCAGGCCCAGGCGCUAGCACGAGCAGAGGAGGCUCCGACUAGCAGAGGCGCAGGUUUGAGCAGUAGUAGCUCCGACCAGUGGAGCAGGAAUGGGCGCAGGGUAGCUCUGCUCACAUCAUGAUUGGUUGAAGCAUGUGAUUUGGUGUCGGCGGCCACACGGUGAGAUGCAUGGUGAGUGAUUUUGUAUUUGAUUUUUUAUUUGGCCUGGUUGCCUAUGAAGUCUUUGACAGAUUGCUUGACUAGUGCUUUGUGUAUGGUUUAGUUUGUUAUGUGCUCACAGACAUUCUUUAGGGCGCCAAUUGGAUUCAAUCAUCUGCGUGCAAAGAUGGAAGGUUUGUGAUGAAUGUCUGUGAGCAUAUAACAAACCACGCACAUGUCUGCAAGGAUUUGUUGCUCGACAGCUUUACACUGCAUUAUUAGUUCUCUAGAAACCUUUUGGAGUAUCAGAUCCGUGAGAUUUUAUAGUUGUAGGAUGUAUGUGCUUGUUGCUAUGAUUAAAGAAUCGUCUGAGAGAAAAUUAGUAAAUAAUUUAUGCUUAUUGCAAUGAUUUUUUGUCUCUUGCGCGUGAAUGUCAAUAAUCUAUUCUAAGUGUUCUGCAUUUUUAAUCCACUAUUUCUGUAACAAGCAACAACCUGAUGAAUUUGACAUGUCCCUUUUUUUUUUUGCUAAGUGAGGCUUUGUUACUAGGGAUGUGGGCAACAGUAUGUUACCAACUGGUGAUCUGGUGAGGCGAGGUCCCGUCCUGAUGGCUGAUCUGUCGUCCCCAACUAUAGUGUUCUGAUCUGUUGAGGUCCUGCAACUGCAAGGUAUGCAACAAAAGCUUUAGUUUACUCGAGAGUAACACACUCUGCAACAACAGCUUUAGUAUUUGGUCUUUGGAAGUUAUAAUCAAGAGAAACAUGAGCCUAGUCUUUAGAGGUUAUACCUGUUGUGCAGUUUUUUUACUUUAGUGUACACCAUUACUGAGUUGCAACGGGUUGUACCUUGGGUUUGAACUUGUAUUCUCUUGUAAAGCAUUAUUUAUGAAUUAUGAAUGAGAAUUAUGUAUGGUUAUUGUAAUUAUUUAAAUGGUUACAUGGUUUAUAAUA
Long non-coding RNA from Sorghum bicolor (sorghum), 1352 nucleotides. RefSeq lists it as uncharacterized. The transcript is spliced from 3 exons. NCBI's taxonomy places the organism in Eukaryota, Viridiplantae, Streptophyta, Magnoliopsida, Poales, Poaceae. The record is from RefSeq and is a predicted model, not a curated record.